AGAAUGCUGCAGGCGUUCCUCCAGUCAGCUAAUAGAUUUCCCCAGCUCCUCUGUGCCAGUGAGUCCAUUACAGAAGAAACCCUGAAAAGGGCAAAGGAGAUUGGGUUCUCAGAUAAGCAGAUUUCAAAAUGCCUUGGGCUCACUGAGGCCCAGACAAGGGAGCUGAGGUUAAAGAAAAAUAUCCACCCUUGGGUUAAACAGAUUGAUACACUGGCUGCAGAAUACCCAUCAGUAACAAACUAUCUCUAUGUUACCUACAAUGGUCAGGAGCAUGAUGUCAAUUUUGAUGACCAUGGAAUGAUGGUGCUAGGCUGUGGUCCAUAUCACAUUGGCAGCAGUGUAGAAUUUGAUUGGUGUGCUGUCUCUAGUAUCCGCACACUGCGUCAACUUGGCAAGAAGACGGUGGUGGUGAAUUGCAAUCCUGAGACUGUGAGCACAGACUUUGAUGAGUGUGACAAACUGUACUUUGAAGAGUUGUCCUUGGAGAGAAUCCUAGACAUCUACCAUCAGGAGGCAUGUGGUGGCUGCAUCAUAUCAGUUGGAGGCCAGAUUCCAAACAACCUGGCAGUUCCUCUAUACAAGAAU
RNAcentral lists this small RNA (585 nucleotides) under Pan troglodytes (chimpanzee). RNAcentral describes it as "processed transcript". Lineage: Eukaryota; Metazoa; Chordata; Mammalia; Primates; Hominidae. The record is from RNAcentral.